Long non-coding RNA from Canis lupus familiaris (dog), 1504 nucleotides. RefSeq lists it as uncharacterized. The record is from RefSeq and is a predicted model, not a curated record. The transcript is spliced from 3 exons. Lineage: Eukaryota; Metazoa; Chordata; Mammalia; Carnivora; Canidae.
UACUAUGGUCACACACUCGUACUCUCCUGGGCUACAGCUGUGAAUAUGAAGUACACCAACAGACAAGUAUCCCAGAGGCCAUUCAAUUUGCAUGGGGAGGAAACAGCUUUUGGAAUGAUUAGUAUUCAUUGACAGCUAAUUACUAUAGUUAAGUGACAGAACGGUGUUUUAUGAGAUAGUGCUCGUAAUCAGGUUUCUGUAGCCCAGUUUGACCCAUAUAUACUUAGGGAUUAUCUCAUGAAUCCAUCUUCUUCCACUGAAAUAAAUUAAGGAUUAGUUUUCACCUGUCCCAACUAUAAACAGAUUUAACUUCAAAAAAUAUAAAACAUUUCUACAUAAAUGGGAAAGCAAGGAUAAAACAGCAAUUAUUUCACUUAGCUCUGCUAAGCAUACUACUUUUCUUCAGAUAAAGGGCUUCUGCAAAGGGCUUUGAAUUACGUGAGGAUAUUUAAGAAUCCCUAUUCCUGUUAAUUCCUAUUAUUUAAACCAGAUACUAUUCCUCCUCUAAUUCGACACAUGAAUCCAGAUAUCUCGUCAACCAGACAAUUAAAAUUCCUAAACAGAUACUAAUUUUGAAGUCACUAUUUUGUCCCAGGGUAUUAAUUGGAAGUGUAUGUAACUUCUGAAUCUUCCAUUUACUAAUGAGCUAAAAUAAUUUUAUAGAAAAUAUUCUCUUAUAGCAUAACCUUUCUGUUGAAUAUUUUUAGAAUUAACACUAGACAUCUAAUUUUUUUUUAAAAGGGAGUCCCAAAACAUGAAAUAAAUAUGCUAAUAUUAUAAAAAGUCUGGAUCCAAAUUACCUGAAGGAGAGCCAUGUGCUGAGGUCAUACUUUUGACUUUGGAGUCUGAUAGUCGAGAGAUACUGUUAGCUCUAAUUCUAGGAGAAAAUUUAUCUGAAGGUACUAAUCUGGCUCCACUUCUAAUGAUGGCUUCUGCAGUCCUCGAAGAGGCACUACUUCUAGAGAUCGUUGCCUCAGAGUCACUGCGAGCUGAUAAUGAGCCAAGCCUUGUUCGACGAGGCUGAGCCAAUAAAUCAAUCCUAGAGAUGUUACGCCUUCCUGUGGGGGGCUUUGACGUGGAACUGGUUGUGGACACUUCAGAAGCAACGGAUGCUUUGUCAGCAUCAGCCAGUUCACUGUCGGACACUUCGCCAAGUCGUGCUCUGCGCAAGAGGGAAGUCCUGGUAGGUCGCGGCCUUGGAAGAGUGGUUGAUUUACUGGAUGAUCCAGGUGCUACAGGAGAAGUCUUAGAUUUAGUUACUUUACUUCCUUCCAGUUUGGAAUGUGCAUGCUCAUCAGUUGAGCUCGGAACAGGGGUAGGAGCAGAGGAACAAGCAGACUCCCUCCUGAGCGCAGAGCCUACUGUGGAGCAUCUGAUCCUAAGACCCUGAGACCAUGACCUGAGCUGAAUUAAGAGUCAGAAGCUUCGUCAACUGAGCCUCCCAGGGCAGCCCCAGUGGCGCAGCAGUUUAGCGCCGCCUGUAGCUCGGGGUGUGAUCCUGGAG